RNAcentral lists this small nuclear RNA (312 nucleotides) under Chinchilla lanigera (long-tailed chinchilla). RNAcentral describes it as "7SK RNA (ENSCLAG00000021625.1)". It matches the Rfam family "7SK RNA". Rfam says of the family: 7SK was discovered as an abundant small nuclear RNA in the mid-70s but a possible function has only recently been suggested. Two independent studies have found that 7SK RNA binds the CDK9/cyclin T complex (known as elongation factor P-TEFb). Lineage: Eukaryota; Metazoa; Chordata; Mammalia; Rodentia; Chinchillidae. The record is from Rfam by way of RNAcentral.
GGAUGUGAGGGCGAUCUGGCUGCGACAUCUGUCACCCCAUUCAUCUCCAGGGUUGAUUUGGCUGAUCUGGCUGGCUAGGUGGGUUUCCUCUUCCUCCCUCAAUGCUCCAUGUGCGUCCCUCCCGAAGCUGCACGCUUGGCUGAAGAGGACGACCACUCCCGAUAGGGGAGGACCGUUCCUCGGUCGAGGGUAUGCGAGCAGCUGAGCUCUCCUGCUAGAACCUCCAAACAUGCUCUCCAGACUAGAAUGACAGUCCUUGACAAUGUUCAGAAACAACAGUGUUAUCAGCUGCUUAUGACAACUCAAGAAUAC